RNAcentral lists this ribosomal RNA (378 nucleotides) under uncultured bacterium. RNAcentral's name for it is "partial 16S ribosomal RNA". It matches the Rfam family "Bacterial small subunit ribosomal RNA", at positions 338 to 732 of the family's 1533-position model. The record is from RNAcentral.
CCUACGGGAGGCAGCAGUGGGGAAUUUUGCACAAUGCGGGAAAGCCUGAUGCAGCAACGCCGCGUGAAGGAAGACGGUUUUCGGAUUGUAAACUUCUGUUCUUAGUGAAGAAUAAUGAUGGUAGCAAAGGAGCAAGCAUCGGCUAACUACGUGCCAGCAGCCGCGGUAAUACGCAGGGGGCAAGCGUUGGUCGGACUUACUGGGUGUAAAGGGAACGGAGGGGGGGAGCCAAGUCAGCUGUUAAAGACUAGUGCUUAACUUUAGGACUGCAGUUGAUACUAGAUUUAUUGAGUCAAGUAGAGGAUGGCAGAAUUCCUGGUGUAGCGGUGAAAUGCGUAGAUAUUAGGAGGAACACCGGUGGCGAAGGCGGCCAACUGG